This 515-nucleotide long non-coding RNA is filed under the name Ananas comosus (pineapple). Its description in RNAcentral is "long non-coding RNA (ACOM_LNC023924)". Lineage: Eukaryota; Viridiplantae; Streptophyta; Magnoliopsida; Poales; Bromeliaceae. The record is from RNAcentral.
AUUGCUUAUAUACCCCUGAAAAGUUCCCGAUUUUUCAAUUUAUCCCUCUUAGAAGGCCAAUAUUGAAAAUACCCUUUCUACGUUCUAAUCUAUUUCUAAUAUACCCCUUGAGUUAAAAUCUGUUAAUUAAUUCUGUUAUCUCUGUAAAAUUACUAUUUUACCCAUUCAAAUAUUUCCUUCCACCAUCACUGACUUUCUUAUUUGCCCUUAAAGUCAGGGGCACAAAAAGUAUUUUGACUUUUGAUCUUUUCCAAUAUACCCCUCUAUCGCCACCAAUAUUUCUUAUUUGCCCUUAAGUUAAGGGCAAAAUUGGUAUUUUAAUUUUUUUUUACUGUGGUAGAUAUUUAACUCACGUUUAACCCAAGUUAACUUAACAAGAGAUAACUGCGGGGGUAUUUUGCAAUAACGGUGGAACAUAUGAGGGGUAUUUUAGAAAGAAAAAAAAAGUAGGGGUAAAUCGAAUAUUUUCAAACGUAUGAGGGGUAUAUAGGCAAUUAUCCCUUAAUUUAAAUUGU